RNAcentral lists this ribosomal RNA (1012 nucleotides) under Azorhizophilus paspali. Its description in RNAcentral is "bacterial SSU rRNA". It matches the Rfam family "Bacterial small subunit ribosomal RNA", at positions 43 to 1029 of the family's 1533-position model. The record is from RNAcentral. Lineage: Bacteria; Pseudomonadati; Pseudomonadota; Gammaproteobacteria; Pseudomonadales; Pseudomonadaceae.
CGUGGGGCCUAUCUGCAGUCGAGCGAAUCACUGGGAGCUUGCUCCCGGUGGUUAGCGGCGGACGGGUGAGUAACAGGUGGGCAACCUGCCUGUCGACUGGGAUAACAUCCGGAAACCGAUGCUAAUACCGGAUAAUCCUUUCCCUCUCUUGAGGGGAAGUUGAAAGUCGGUUUCGGCUGACACUUACAGAUGGGCCCGCGGCGCAUUAGCUAGUUGGUGAGGUAACGGCUCACCAAGGCGACAAUGCGUAGCCGACCUGAGAGGGUGAUCGGCCACACUGGGACUGAAACCCGGCCCAAACUCCUACGGGAGGCACCACUAGGGAAUCUUCCACAAUGGACGAAAGUCUGAUGGAGCAACGCCGCGUGAGCGAUGAAGGCCUUCUGGUCGUAAAGCUCUGUUGUUAGGGAAGAACAAGUACCGGAGUAACUGCCGGUACCUUGACGGUACCUAACCAUAAAGCCACGGCUAACUACGUGCCAGCAGCCGCGGUAAUACGUAUGUGGCAAGCGUUGUCCGGAAUUAUUGGGCGUAAAGCGCGCGCAGGCGGUCCUUUAAGUCUGAUGUGAAAGCCCACGGCUCACCCGUGGAGGGUCAUUGCAAACUGGGGGACUUGAGUGCAGAAGAUGAAAGCGGAAUUCCACGUGUAGCGGUGAAAUGCAUAAAGAUGUGGAGGAACACCAGUGGCGAAGGCUGCUUUCUGGUCUGUAACUGACGCUGAUGCGCGAAAGCGUGGAGAGCAAACACGAUUAGAUACCCUGGUAGUCCACGCCGUAUACGAUGAGUGCUAAGUGUUACGGUGUUUCCUCCCCUUAGUGCUGCAGCUAACGCAUUAGGCACUCCGCCUGGCGAGUACGGACCGUCAAGGCUGAUACUCAGAGGAACUUGACGGGCGGCUCGCACAUGCGGUGGAGCAUGUAGGUAUCACUUCAGAAGCAUCACGAAGACUCUUUACUCCGGUCCUUGACAUCCUCUGACACUACUAUAGAUUGGACGUUUCCCCUUUCGACAG